CACGUAGGGGGCAAGCGUUGUCCGGAUUUAUUGGGCGUAAAGAGCUCGUAGGCGGUUCGGUAAGUCGGGUGUGAAACCUCCAGGCUCAACCUGGAGACGCCACCCGAUACUGCUGUGACUAGAGUCCGGUAGGGGAGCGUGGAAUUCCUGGUGUAGCGGUGAAAUGCGUAGAUAUCAAGAGGAACACCUGAGGUGAAGACGGGUUGCUGGGCUGAUACUGACGCUGAGGCGCGAAAGCUAGGGUAGCAAACGGG
Molecule: ribosomal RNA, 254 nt
Filed under: uncultured bacterium
Lineage: Bacteria
Description: partial 16S ribosomal RNA
Rfam family: Bacterial small subunit ribosomal RNA
Source: RNAcentral